UACGGAGGGUCCAAGCGUUAUCCGGAAUCAUUGGGCUUAAAGGGUCCGUAGGCGGUUUUGUAAGUCAGUGGUGAAAGCCCAUCGCUCAACGGUGGAACGGCCAUUGAUACUGCAAGACUUGAAUUAUUAGGAAGUAACUAGAAUAUGUAGUGUAGCGGUGAAAUGCUUAGAGAUUACAUGGAAUACCAAUUGCGAAGGCAGGUUACUACUAAUUGAUUGACGCUGAUGGACGAAAGCGUGGGGAGCGAACAGG
Molecule: ribosomal RNA, 253 nt
Filed under: uncultured bacterium
Lineage: Bacteria
Description: partial 16S ribosomal RNA
Rfam family: Bacterial small subunit ribosomal RNA
Source: RNAcentral